UCAUAGUGAUCCGGUGGUUCUGAAUGGAAGGGCCAUCGCUCAACGGAUAAAAGGUACUCCGGGGAUAACAGGCUGAUACCGCCCAAGAGUUCAUAUCGACGGCGGUGUUUGGCACCUCGAUGUCGGCUCAUCACAUCCUGGGGCUGAAGUAGGUCCCAAGGGUAUGGCUGUUCGCCAUUUAAAGUGGUACGCGAGCUGGGUUUAGAACGUCGUGAGACAGUUCGGUCCCUAUCUGCCGUGGGCGCUGGAGAACUGAGGGGGGCUGCUCCUAGUACGAGAGGACCGGAGUGGACGCAUCACUGGUGUUCGGGUUGUCAUGCCAAUGGCACUGCCCGGUAGCUAAAUGCGGAAGAGAUAAGUGCUGAAAGCAUCUAAGCACGAAACUUGCCCCGAGAUG
This 397-nucleotide ribosomal RNA is filed under the name Escherichia coli. RNAcentral's name for it is "partial 23S ribosomal RNA". It matches the Rfam family "Bacterial large subunit ribosomal RNA", at positions 2410 to 2806 of the family's 2925-position model. The record is from RNAcentral. Lineage: Bacteria; Pseudomonadati; Pseudomonadota; Gammaproteobacteria; Enterobacterales; Enterobacteriaceae.